Molecule: long non-coding RNA, 779 nt
Organism: Amphiprion ocellaris (clown anemonefish)
Lineage: Eukaryota; Metazoa; Chordata; Actinopteri; Pomacentridae
Source: Ensembl
AACAUCACUAGUCGGCACGUCUGGUAGCGUCUCUGGCUGCUGUUGACCUUGUUUUUGGAGUAAAACACGGUGGAAGCUGAAUUAGUGAGGAUGACUCCUGCUCCUGUCAUCUCUAAGCUCCUCACACAUCUUUACCUGCACAUGAGGAAAAUCACUCCUGUAGAAUGCAGUGGUUCAUCAGAACCUCUGGGGAUCCUGUGGAUUCUGUGGAUCCUGUGGGUUGCAGGGUGGGUCCUACCUAGACCAGGCUGAUCCUGGACCAUCCCACAGAUGCUCCAUCAGAUGUGGAUGUGGGGAGUGUGGAACCCAGAUGUUCAGAGGGAGAUGAUGCCACAUCUGGUCCAGCUGAUGGAAGGUCUUGAAGUUCUCUGACUGGCCUCGACUGAAGAUGGUCGUCUCACUGGAUUUAAGGUUCAGAUGCUCAGUAACAAACUCCACCAAUGAGCCAACAGGGAAGCUUUAGGUUUGUUAAAUGUUGCUAUGAAGGUAUCGCUGUUUUUCUUUGUGAAUGCAAUGUGCUCCAACUGAAACUUGAAUUAGAACUUAGAAGUAAAUCCUUCCAUCUGAAAGGAUUUAGUUGCAUUAAUAACCUCAUAACAUUCUAAUUUUUAUUCCAGUCUUGGUUGGAAAUAGAAUCUCUGUAUUGAUUCAGGUAAAAACUGAACUUCACAGCAUGUUGAAGCAAAACAACCAGAUGAAAACUGUGAUGGUGUUGGAUUGUCAGACCGUAAUGUUGCAGCUCAAAGCAGCUUUUCUAGCUCAGUUCAUUCUGACAUUCA